CAUUUCAUCUCAUUCCAAAUUGUAAUAAACCCAUGAAAAUAAAAAAUUACUCCUCAAAUCAUUCUUGUAUGUUAAUGAUCUCUUCUUGGCUCCUUAUCGAAAAUUGUCCUACGUUGCGAGCUCGUCAUUUUGGUAUUAUUUUCACAGUGAAUGAUCGAUAUAACUUUGUGGAGGUUGUGGAAGCAGGGUUAUUUUGAGUGGAGUGAUUUUAUUCAAGUUUUCUAGUUUUUUAAGAAAGUGGUGCGGACAGAGGUAUUUCUAGAAUAACUUAUAAAGCAAAAGGUCUCGAAAGACAACCCAAUAGACCUCCUCAGCAGCAGGAUUGACUUCGAGCUGAUUGGUUAGCCCCCUUCCUGCGAGUAGCCAAAGUUUGGAGAUGAAGGCAUAUUUUUUUCUGAUGAACUAAUAGAAGAGUUGAAGCUAAAGUCUGAAAAACUUAUCGAAGAGCUGUAGAGCUGGGAGCUUCUCGAUUAACAACAUGAUUGCUAUCAUACUUCUCGCUGAAGAACACAAUUUUUGUUUGUAUAUGUUUUAUCAGGAAAAUGCUGAUAAAUGAAUUUGAAUUAUGGAUAGAAGUAAACUGGAUCUAUUAUAGUAAACGAUGAAGAGUAUUUGUAUAAACAUAUUGUACAUGUUUGAAUGCAUUUGAUUUUGUGGAAUUAAUUUAUAGUACUAAACGAUGAAAAUUGAUUUUUGUGAAAUAUAUUUAGUUUUGUACUAUUGUUGUGAACGAUGAACUAUUUUUGUACAAGACAUGUUUCACGAAGUUUAUUUGAAAUAUAUAGCUUCGAUUUAAUUAUUA
This is a non-coding RNA of Solanum lycopersicum (tomato), 802 nucleotides long. The record is from RefSeq and is a predicted model, not a curated record. NCBI's taxonomy places the organism in Eukaryota, Viridiplantae, Streptophyta, Magnoliopsida, Solanales, Solanaceae.